RNAcentral lists this ribosomal RNA (468 nucleotides) under uncultured bacterium. RNAcentral's name for it is "partial 16S ribosomal RNA". It matches the Rfam family "Bacterial small subunit ribosomal RNA", at positions 29 to 507 of the family's 1533-position model. The record is from RNAcentral.
ACGAACGCUGGCGGCGUGCUUAACACAUGCAAGUCGAACGGAAAGGCCCUGCUUGCAGGGUGCUCGAGUGGCGAACGGGUGAGUAACACGUGGGUGAUCUGCCCCUUACUUUGGGAUAAGCCUGGGAAACUGGGUCUAAUACUGGAUAGGACCAUGCUGUAGGUGGUGUGGUGGAAAGAUUAGUUUCGGUAAGGGAUGAGCUCGCGGCCUAUCAGCUUGUUGGUGGGGUAAUGGCCUACCAAGGCGUCGACGGGUAGCCGGCCUGAGAGGGUGGACGGCCACAUUGGGACUGAGAUACGGCCCAGACUCCUGCGGGAGGCAGCAGUGGGGAAUAUUGCACAAUGGGCGCAAGCCUGAUGCAGCGACGCCGCGUGGGGGAUGACGGCCUUCGGGUUGUAAACUCCUUUCAGCCAUGACGAAGCCCUUGUGGUGACGGUAGUGGUAGAAGAAGCACCGGCUAACUACGUG